UGAGAGAUGAAUGCCUAAAGCUAUAUCAUG
RNAcentral lists this non-coding RNA (30 nucleotides) under Mus musculus (house mouse). The record is from RNAcentral. Lineage: Eukaryota; Metazoa; Chordata; Mammalia; Rodentia; Muridae.